CAGUAGCCACGGUAAUACCAGCAGCCCAAGUGGUGGUCGCGAUUAUUGGGCCUAAAGCGCUCGUAGCCGGGCCGGUAAGUCCCUUGUGAAAUCGGACGGCCUAACCGUUCGGCGUGCAAGGGAUACUGUCGGUCUUGAGGCCGGGAGACGUCCGAGGUACUCCGGGGGUAGCGGUGAAAUGUUCUGAUCCUCGGGGGACCACCGGUGGCGAAGGCGUUCGACGAGAACGGGCCUGACGGUGAGGGGCGAAGGCUAGGGGAGCAAACGGGAUUAGAUACCCGCGUAGUCCCUGUCUCUUAUA
This 301-nucleotide ribosomal RNA is filed under the name uncultured bacterium. Its description in RNAcentral is "partial 16S ribosomal RNA". It matches the Rfam family "Archaeal small subunit ribosomal RNA", at positions 459 to 759 of the family's 1478-position model. The record is from RNAcentral.